GAUGAACGCUGGCGGCGUGCCUAAUACAUGCAAGUCGAGCGAACGGACGAGAAGCUUGCUUCUCUGAUGUUAGCGGCGGACGGGUGAGUAACACGUGGAUAACCUACCUAUAAGACUGGGAUAACUUCGGGAAACCGGAGCUAAUACCGGAUAAUAUUUUGAACCGCAUGGUUCAAAAGUGAAAGACGGUCUUGCUGUCACUUAUAGAUGGAUCCGCGCUGCAUUAGCUAGUUGGUAAGGUAACGGCUUACCAAGGCAACGAUGCAUAGCCGACCUGAGAGGGUGAUCGGCCACACUGGAACUGAGACACGGUCCAGACUCCUACGGGAGGCAGCAGUAGGGAAUCUUCCGCAAUGGGCGAAAGCCUGACGGAGCAACGCCGCGUGAGUGAUGAAGGUCUUCGGAUCGUAAAACUCUGUUAUUAGGGAAGAACAUAUGUGUAAGUAACUGUGCACAUCUUGACGGUACCUAAUCAGAAAGCCACGGCUAACUACGUGCCAGCAGCCGCGGUAAUACGUAGGUGGCAAGCGUUAUCCGGAAUUAUUGAGCGUAAAGCGCGCGUAGGCGGUUUUUUAAGUCUGAUGUGAAAGCCCACGGCUCAACCGUGGAGGGUCAUUGGAAACUGGAAAACUUGAGUGCAGAAGAGGAAAGUGGAAUUCCAUGUGUAGCGGUGAAAUGCGCAGAGAUAUGGAGGAACACCAGUGGCGAAGGCGACUUUCUGGUCUGUAACUGACGCUGAUGUGCGAAAGCGUGGGGAUCAAACAGGAUUAGAUACCCUGGUAGUCCACGCCGUAAACGAUGAGUGCUAAGUGUUAGGGGGUUUCCGCCCCUUAGUGCUGCAGCUAACGCAUUAAGCACUCCGCCUGGGGAGUACGACCGCAAGGUUGAAACUCAAAGGAAUUGACGGGGACCCGCACAAGCGGUGGAGCAUGUGGUUUAAUUCGAAGCAACGCGAAGAACCUUACCAAAUCUUGACAUCCUUUGACAACUCUAGAGAUAGAGCCUUCCCCUUCGGGGGACAAAGUGACAGGUGGUGCAUGGUUGUCGUCAGCUCGUGUCGUGAGAUGUUGGGUUAAGUCCCGCAACGAGCGCAACCCUUAAGCUUAGUUGCCAUCAUUAAGUUGGGCACUCUAAGUUGACUGCCGGUGACAAACCGGAGGAAGGUGGGGAUGACGUCAAAUCAUCAUGCCCCUUAUGAUUUGGGCUACACACGUGCUACAAUGGACAAUACAAAGGCAGCGAAACCGCGAGGUCAAGCAAAUCCCAUAAAGUUGUUCUCAGUUCGGAUUGUAGUCUGCAACUCGACUACAUGAAGCUGGAAUCGCUAGUAAUCGUAGAUCAGCAUGCUACGGUGAAUACGUUCCCGGGUCU
This 1371-nucleotide ribosomal RNA is filed under the name uncultured bacterium. Its description in RNAcentral is "bacterial SSU rRNA". It matches the Rfam family "Bacterial small subunit ribosomal RNA", at positions 28 to 1381 of the family's 1533-position model. The record is from RNAcentral.